AUCUUUUCCGGAAGCAGAUCGCUCCAUAUACAUACAGAAGAACAAUCCCCAACAAGAGACGAAAGGGAAAAUAAAAAACCAAACUUUAACAACAAAAAACCCCUCUAGAUUUCGAGAUUGGAUGCUAGGAUUCCAUGAACCCUAGACGCAUUAAAGGGGGGAGUGAAGAAGCAGGUUGGCGGGGAAUAAUGGGCAUGGAGGUGUGUCGUUUUCAGGGGAGGGGAGAAUAAAGGAAUGAUGGUGAUAAGAAGAAGAAGCGGU
This 261-nucleotide long non-coding RNA is filed under the name Linum usitatissimum (flax). RNAcentral describes it as "long non-coding RNA (LUSI_LNC000656)". The record is from RNAcentral. Lineage: Eukaryota; Viridiplantae; Streptophyta; Magnoliopsida; Malpighiales; Linaceae.